Non-coding RNA from Xylaria palmicola, 84 nucleotides. Lineage: Eukaryota; Fungi; Ascomycota; Sordariomycetes; Xylariales; Xylariaceae. The record is from the annotation of a GenBank genome assembly.
UCCUCCGUGGCGCAAUUGGCUAGCGCGUUCGACUGUUAUUAACAGGUUAUCGAGAGGUUGACAGUUCAAGCCUGUCCGGGGGAG